CGGGGCGUAGCGCAGCCCGGUUAGCGCGCCUGCCUUGGGAGCAGGAGGUCGCUGGUUCAAAUCCAGUCGCCCCGACCA
This 78-nucleotide transfer RNA is filed under the name Candidatus Latescibacteria bacterium 4484_7. RNAcentral describes it as "tRNA-Pro". It matches the Rfam family "tRNA". Rfam says of the family: Transfer RNA (tRNA) molecules are approximately 80 nucleotides in length. Their secondary structure includes four short double-helical elements and three loops (D, anti-codon, and T loops). The record is from RNAcentral. RNAcentral also lists the same sequence under 1 other name. Lineage: Bacteria; Pseudomonadati; Candidatus Latescibacterota.